GCGGGCGUGAUGGAACGGCAGACAUGCGGGCUUUAGGUGCCCGUGCUCGAAAGAGCGUGAGGGUUCAAAUCCCUCCGCCCGCA
RNAcentral lists this transfer RNA (83 nucleotides) under Candidatus Mycobacterium methanotrophicum. RNAcentral's name for it is "Mycobacterium sp. 'sulfur cave' tRNA-Leu". It matches the Rfam family "tRNA". Rfam says of the family: Transfer RNA (tRNA) molecules are approximately 80 nucleotides in length. Their secondary structure includes four short double-helical elements and three loops (D, anti-codon, and T loops). Further hydrogen bonds mediate the characteristic L-shaped molecular structure. tRNAs have two regions of fundamental functional importance: the anti-codon, which is responsible for specific mRNA codon recognition, and the 3' end, to which the tRNAs corresponding amino acid is attached (by aminoacyl-tRNA synthetases). tRNAs cope with the degeneracy of the genetic code in two manners: having more than one tRNA (with a specific anti-codon) for a particular amino acid; and 'wobble' base-pairing, i.e. permitting non-standard base-pairing at the 3rd anti-codon position. The record is from RNAcentral. Lineage: Bacteria; Bacillati; Actinomycetota; Actinomycetes; Mycobacteriales; Mycobacteriaceae.